GAUGAACGCUAGCGGGAGGCCUAAUACAUGCAAGUCGAGCGGUAGAGUGACUUCGGUUGCUUGAGAGCGGCGCACGGGUGAGUAACGCGUACAUGACCUACCUUUAAGACUGGGAUAGCCCUGGGAAACUGGGAUUAAUACCGGAUGUGAUAAUACGUAUAGAGAUGUAUUAUUAAAGUUGAGGCGCUUAGAGAUGGAUGUGCGUCUGAUUAGCUAGUUGGUAGGUAACGGCCUACCAAGGCUACGAUCAGUAGGGGGCGUGAGAGCGUGACCCCCCACACGGGUACUGAGACACGGACCCGACUCCUACGGGAGGCAGCAGUAAGGAAUAUUGGUCAAUGGAGGGAACUCUGAACCAGCCAUCCCGCGUGCAGGAUGAAGGGGCGUCUGCCCUGUAAACUGCUUUUGAAAUGGGGACGAAAAAA
This 425-nucleotide ribosomal RNA is filed under the name uncultured bacterium. RNAcentral describes it as "bacterial SSU rRNA". It matches the Rfam family "Bacterial small subunit ribosomal RNA", at positions 28 to 453 of the family's 1533-position model. The record is from RNAcentral.